AUUGAACGCUGGCGGCAUGCCUUACACAUGCAAGUCGAACGGCAGCACGGGAGCUUGCUCCUGGUGGCGAGUGGCGAACGGGUGAGUAAUACAUCGGAACGUACCCUGAAGUGGGGGAUAACGUAGCGAAAGUUACGCUAAUACCGCAUAUUCUGUGAGCAGGAAAGAGGGGGAUCGCAAGACCUCUUGCUUUAGGAGCGGCCGAUGUCGGAUUAGCUAGUUGGUGAGGUAAAGGCUCACCAAGGCGACGAUCCGUAGCGGGUCUGAGAGGAUGAUCCGCCACACUGGGACUGAGACACGGCCCAGACUCCUACGGGAGGCAGCAGUGGGAAUUUGGACAAGUGGGCGCAAGCCUGAUCCAGCCAUGCCGCGUGAGUGAAGAAGGCC
RNAcentral lists this ribosomal RNA (387 nucleotides) under uncultured bacterium. RNAcentral describes it as "bacterial SSU rRNA". It matches the Rfam family "Bacterial small subunit ribosomal RNA", at positions 30 to 416 of the family's 1533-position model. The record is from RNAcentral.